Molecule: ribosomal RNA, 470 nt
Filed under: uncultured Pseudomonadota bacterium
Lineage: Bacteria; Pseudomonadati; Pseudomonadota
Description: bacterial SSU rRNA
Rfam family: Bacterial small subunit ribosomal RNA
Source: RNAcentral
AGAGUUUGAUCCUGGCUCAGAGCGAACGCUGGCGGCAGGCCUAACACAUGCAAGUCGAGCGGCCGUAGCAAUACGGCAGCGGCAGACGGGAGAGUAACACGUGGGAACGCGCCCUUCGGUUCGGGAUAACCCAGGGAAACUUGGGCUAAUACCGGAUACGCCCUUACGGGGAAAGAUUUAUUGCCGAAGGAACGGCCCGCGUCCGAUUAGCUAGUUGGUGAGGUAACGGCUCACCAAGGCGACGAUCGGUAGCUGGUCUGAGAGGAUGACCAGCCUCACUGGGACUGAGACACGGCCCAGACUCCUACGGGAGGCAGCAGUGGGGAAUAUUGGACAAUGGGCGCAAGCCUGAUCCAGCCAUGCCGCGUGGGUGAUGAAGGCCCUAGGGUUGUAAAGCCCUUUCAGCGGGGAAGAUAAUGACGGUACCCGCAGAAGAAGCCCCGGCUAACUUCGUGCCAGCAGCCGCGGUA